GACGAACCGAGCGAACGUUGUUCGGAAUCACUGGGCUUAAAGGGCGCGUAGGCGGGCAUUCAAGUCCGUGGUGAAAUCCGGCAGCUCAACUGUCGAACUGCCGCGGAUACUGGGUGUCUCGAGGGAGGUAGGGGCGUGCGGAACUAUUGGUGGAGCGGUGAAAUGCGUUGAUAUCAAUAGGAGCUCCGGUGGCGAAGGCGGCACGCUGGACCUUUUCUGACGCUGAGGCGCGAAAGCCAGGGGAGCAAACGGG
This 253-nucleotide ribosomal RNA is filed under the name uncultured bacterium. RNAcentral describes it as "partial 16S ribosomal RNA". It matches the Rfam family "Bacterial small subunit ribosomal RNA", at positions 524 to 776 of the family's 1533-position model. The record is from RNAcentral.